AUCACUAUAAUUGUGAAAACAAUUUAAAACCUAAAAACGGAACAGAAAAAGCAGCGAUUUUAACGGUUCCUCCAAUAGCGUCCAUAAGCACACACUCACAUAAUAGCUCCGCUUGUACUGCGCACGCGCAAAAGACGUUCGCCAGUUCCCGUAACAACGCGGAGGCAGCCAUGACACGAAAGGCAGCGGACUACUCUCAAGUCUCUUUAUUUAUUGAUUUAAAAUAUUUAUAACCCGCUCCUCCAGUGCCAUACAGCUCCGGGUGGCUUUCCUUCAGCCUCCGUUCUCUUCCUGAAACGUCGGCCAGGUUCCUCCAUUGGCGACAACAGAAAAAAAUAAAAGCCGUAGCGAGCAUGCGCAGUAGUACGAGUUGAGGCGGGAAAAUCUCUCCGGGCUUUUGGCGGCCUUUCCCGGCUGCGCCUCCCGCUGCCCCGCCCCCUCCCUGCUCCUGACUAGAGCCCAGCCCGCUUCUCUGAUUGGCUGCCCGGGUCUGGCCGCUUGACAGCUGGCCCCGCCCCCCGCAGCUGAGGCGAAGCGCGCGUCGUUUGAGAGGGAGAUUGCAGGCAGCUGCGGGCUGAGGCGAGCGAAGCGCACGAGGAGGAGGAGGAGGAGGGGGCUGCCGCUGGCGCUGCCUGCCUGAGGGGCACGAAGGAAAGGAGAGAGGAGGACAGUCGAAGGCCGCCUCGGCCAGGCUCCCUGGAAAACAAACGCCGGCCCCGAGGCCAAGGAAGGAAGGGCUGAGGGGGCUUCAGGCUCCACCGCCACUGGGAAACCUCUGAGGAGAAACUAGAGGCUGGCUAGGGCACUGCAAGGAAGGGCUCCAUGCCCAGCCUUGGUCUCUACCUUGCCUAAAUUUAUAUUUUAAUAUAUAUAUUAAUAUAUAUUAAUAUAUAUAUAUAUUAUAUUUAUAGAGAGAGAGAGAGAGAGUGAGAGAGUAAUUGAAUAUCUCUGAGGGAAAGGGCUCUAUGCCCAGCCUUGCCCUUUAACUCACAAAAACCAAAAGUCUCUGAGGGGAGGAUGUCUCCAAGAUGCUACAGAGAAGGGCUCUAUGCCCAGCCUUGCCCUUGAACUCACAAAAACCAAAAGUCUCUGAGGGAAGGAUGUCUCCAAGAUGCUACAGAGAAGGGCUCUAUGCCCAGCCUUGCCCUUUAACUCACAAAAACCAAAAGUCUCUGAGGGGAGGAUGUCUCCAAGAUGCUACAGAGAAGGGCUCUAUGCCCAGCCUUGCCCUUGAACUCACAAAAACUAAAUGUUUCUGAGGGGAGGAUGUCUCCAAGAUGCUACAGAGAAGGGCUCUAUGCCCAGCCUUGCCCUUGAACUCACAAAAACCAAAAGUCUCUGAGGGGAGGAUGUCUCCAAGAUGCUACAGAGAAGGGCUCUAUGCCCAGCCUUGCCCUUGAACUCACAAAAACUAAAUGUCUCUGAGGGGAGGAUGUCUCCAAGAUGCUACAGAGAAGGGCUCUAUGCCCAGCCUUGCCCUUUAACUCACAAAAACCAAAAGUCUCUGAGGGGAGGAUGUCUCCAAGAUGCUACAGAGAAGGGCUCUAUGCCCAGCCUUGCCCUUUAACUCACAAAAACCAAAAGUCUCUGAGGGGAAGAUGUCUCCAAGAUGCUACAGAGAAGGGCUCUAUGCCCAGCCUUGCCCUUUAACUCACAGAAACUAAAAGUCUCUGAGGGAAGGAUGUCUCCAAGAUGCUACAGAGAAGGGCUCUAUGCCCAGCCUUGCCCUUUAACUCACAAAAACCAAAAGUCUCUGAGGGGAAGAUGUCUCCAAGAUGCUACAGAGAAGGGCUCUAUGCCCAGCCUUGGCCUUAACUCAGCUAAAUAGAUAAAUCUGAGGGAAGGCAGUCUCUAAGACAGCCUUUACCUAUGUUGCCUCAGGAAAAAGAGUGAAAGGAGAGAAGAUGCUGCUAAGAGAGAAGGGGAGAAGUCAUACAAAGAGCACCUUGAACGCACCGUACUGCCAGGAUAGGGCUUCUUUUAAGAAUCCUUUCUUGGAGAAUGGCAUGAAUAAGGGCUUCAAGCCCACUGCCAAAUAACCGUCCCUAGGAAAAACAAAAACUCUAAGUGGAGAAUUCAUCUCUCUGCUUUGGCUUCAUUCUGCCAAGGGAAAAAAAAGGAAAUCUCUGCAAAUGCUACAGCCGUGCUGACGUGAACAAAAGCCCUGCCAUCUCACUGCCCACAUUCAUAGCAUUCUGUCUGCAAAGGGCAAAACGCAACAGAUUAUCCCCGUCCUCAGAACGCUGGGGCGCCACAGCCUUCUGCAUCACGGCAAAAAAUCUGUUCAUCAUUCCAGCGUAAUUGCUCUGUGCAUGCAAAUGCUGUAAAUAUGCACAGUGUGGGGCAGGACUUCUGAGUGCAACGGCACAGGGGCUGUACCGAAAAUAUCUGAAGCCAGAGGCUGUAGAACUACAGCCUAGGACAUUUUAUUGUCCAAAAUAUGGGGAAACGUGGGGUUAUAUAGCUCAAGGGUGACAGAUUUGGACCCUUGAGUUCCAGAAAACUCUUAAGUCAGGUGCUGUAAACGAAAGUAUGAGCAUUAUUCACUCUCCCAACACCUUUCUAAGGCAGCAUGGUCUCCAAUUUGUGACUUUCUUGAACGGAAUACACUGAAUGAAUGUGAGAAGCUUCAUGCUUCUUUAUUCUUUUAGUACUGCAUAGAGAUAGACAAAUCAGGCAAUAUAUAAAUCUUACAAAUGAAUAGACUUGUUGGACAGGAAAAUCUCUAAGAUGGUGCACUGGAUGGCAUCAGCAUUUGUAAGAUUAUGGCUAUCUUGAAUAGAACACGUUGUUGGGGUGCUUUCUCCUCCCAAAAGGCCUCUUGCCUAAAGAUCUCAAGAAGGAACUAACAGCGUUCCAAGAACAAAGGAAAAGGAGCAACGAAGCACAACAGAAGCCAAACCAGGGGCUGCAGAACUCAAGCCGUGCAAGACUCUCUGAAUACAGGGGCUCUCCACAGGAGCCUCAGGCUUCUUGAUUCCCCCACCCGUUUGUCAGGCAGCAGCAUCUCUAAGAUUCUGGCUGUCCUGAAUGCAACACGCUUCAUGCGUGUCUGAAGCUUCAGGCUUCUUGAUUCUCCCACCAGCCCGGUCAGGUAGCAUCAUCUCUAAGAUUCUGGCUGUCUUGAAUGCAACACGCUUCAUGCGUGUUUGAAGCUUCACGCUUCUUGAUUCAUUCCACGGAGGGGAUGGCCAGCAGUUUCUGUAGGUUUCUAGCAAUCUUGAAUGGAACAGGCUUCAUGCAUGCUCCAUUCUGACCCCUGAAGACUGCUUUGGCAAGAAGAAACAGAAUUGGCGCGCCUUUCUCCAGGACCUCCAGGACCCAAACUUGACAUCGGGACGCUUUCUCCUCCCAAGAGGCCUCUGUGGCAAAUCUCCUUCCUUCAGGUUUCAGGGAAGAACUCACGGCGUCUCAAGAAUGGAAGAAACGGAGCAACGAGGCACGACAGAAGCCAAACCAGGGGCUGCAGAACUCAAGCCGCGCAAGACUCUCUGAAUACAGGGGCUCUCCACAGAAGCCUCAGGCUUCUUGAUUCCCCCACCCGUUUGUCAGGCAGCAGCAUCUCUAAGAUUCUGGCUGUCCUGAUUGAAACAUGCUUCAUGCGUGUCUGAAGCUUCAGGCUUCUUGAUUCUCCAACCAACCCGGUCAGGUAGCAUCAUCUCUAAGAUUCUGGCUGUCUUGAAUGCAACACGCUUCAUGCGUGUUUGAAGCUUCACGCUUCUUCAUUCAUUCCAUGGAGGGGAUAGCCAGCAGUUUCUGUAGGUUUCUAGCAAUCUUGAAUGGAACAGGCUUCAUGCAUGCUCCAUUCUGCCCCCUGAAGACUGCUUUGGCAAGAAGAAACAGAAUUGGCGUGCCUUUCUCCAGGACCUCCAGGCCCUAAACUUGACAUCGGGAUGCUUUCUCCUCCCAAGAGGCCUCUUGCCUAAAGAUCUCAAGAAGGAACUAAGAGUGUUCCAAGAACAAAGGAAAAGGAGCAAUGAAGCACAACAGAAGCCAAACCAGGGGCUGCAGAACUCAAGCCGCGCAAGACUCUCUGAAUACAGGGGCUCUCCACCGAAGCCUCAGGCUUCUUGAUUCCCCCACCCGUUUGUCAGGCAGCAGCAUCUCUAAGAUUCUGGCUGUCCUGAUUGAAACACGCUUCAUGCGUGUCUGAAGCUUCAGGCUUCUUGAUUCUCCCACCAGCCCGGUCAGGUAGCAUCAUCUCUAAGAUUCUGGCUGUCUUGAAUGCAACACGCUUCAUGCGUGUUUGAAGCUUCACACUUCUUGAUUCAUUCCACGGAGGGGAUGGCCAGCAGUUUCUGUAGGUUUCUAGCAAUCUUGAAUGGAACAGGCUUCAUGCAUGCUCCAUUCUGCCCCCUGAAGACUGCUUUGGCAAGAAGAAACAGAAUUGGUGCGCCUUUCUCCAGGACCUCCAGGACCCAAACUUGACAUCGGGAUGCUUUCUCCUCCCAAGAGGCCUCUGUGGCAAAUCUCCUUCCUACAGGUUUCAGGGAAGAACUCACGGCGUCUCAAGAAUGGAAGAAACAGAGCAACGAGGCACGACAAAAGCCAAAACGGGCUGCAGAACUCAAGCCGCGCAAGACUCUCUGAAUACAGGGGCUCUCCACAGAAGCCUCAGGCUUCUUGAUUCCCCCACCCGUUUGUCAGGCAGCAGCAUCUCUAAGAUUCUGGCUGACCUGAAUGCAACACGCUUCAUGCGUGUCUGAAGCUUCAGGCUUCUUGAUUCUCCCACCAGCCCGGUCAGGUAGCAUCAUCUCUAAGAUUCUGGCUGUCUUGAAUGCAACACGCUUCAUGCGUGUUUGAAGCUUCACGCUUCUUGAUUCAUUCCACGGAGGGGAUGGCCAGCAGUUUCUGUAGGUUUCUAGCAAUCUUGAAUGGAACAGGCUUCAUGCAUGCUCCAUUCUGACCCCUGAAGACUGCUUUGGCAAGAAGAAACAGAAUUGGCGCGCCUUUCUCCAGGACCUCCAGGACCCAAACUUGACAUCGGGACGCUUUCUCCUCCCAAGAGGCCUCUGUGGCAAGUAAGUCUCCAGCACAGAGAAAGGAACAACAAAAAGAGAAUGAGGUGGAAGGGGGCUACCGGGCGAGGGGGGGAUUCCCUAGCUGUGUCAUGGCAUUCUAUGAUGAUGUACUUCAUCGGGACUAAAGAAUGUGGACUAGAAAUGUUUGCUCAACAUCUAUUACUAUUAUUAUUGUUGUUAUUACAUUUCAUUCCCGCUCUUCCUGCAAGGAGCCCAGAGCAGUGACUGGCCCAGAGUCACUCAGCUAGUUUCAUGGCUGAAUGGGGAUUUGAACUCGGGUCUCCCCAGUCCUAGUCUAGCACUCUAACCACUACACCACACUGGCUCCUUUACUAGGCAUGGAUUGUCACAGGUUAAUAUAAAAAUGCAAAAACCGUGAGUGGUCCAUUAUCCACAAAAUCUUAUAUUUAAGAUUUAGCUUUGUAUUGAAUUGGUGAUGUUUUCUUGUGAGCCGACGGAGAGGCAAGUUUGCGGCGGGAUGGAAACAUGUCAAAGACAGAAUAUAAUAAAUAAAGUGCCCAGAGACCUGAGUUUUGAGCUCUAUGGAUAUAUGCUCAAUAAAUUAAUGAGCAGCCUUCUAAUCUUACAAGGUGAAGAUGGGAUAUUUCCCUUACUAGAAAAUCUUUCUUCCUUUCCUACAGAUCUUCUUCCUUCAGGUUUCAGGGAAGAACUCACGGCGUCUCAAGAACGGAAGAAACGGAGCAACGAGGCACGACAGAAGCCAAACCAGGGGCUGCAGAACUCAAGCCGCGCAAGACUCUCUGAAUACAGGGGCUCUCCACAGAAGCCUCAGGCUUCUUGAUUCCCCCACCCGUUUGUCAGGCAGCAGCAUCUCUAAGAUUCUGGCUGUCCUGAUUGAAACAUGCUUCAUGCGUGUCUGAAGCUUCAGGCUUCUUGAUUCUCCCACCAACCCGGUCAGGUAGCAUCAUCUCUAAGAUUCUGGCUGUCUUGAAUGCAACACGCUUCAUGCGUGUUUGAAGCUUCACGCUUCUUCAUUCAUUCCAUGGAGGGGAUAGCCAGCAGUUUCUGUAGGUUUCUAGCAAUCUUGAAUGGAACAGGCUUCAUGCAUGCUCCAUUCUGCCCCCUGAAGACUGCUUUGGCAAGAAGAAACAGAAUUGGCGCGCCUUUCUCCAGGACCUCCAGGCCCUAAACUUGACAUCGGGAUGCUUUCUCCUCCCAAGAGGCCUCUUGCCUAAAGAUCUCAAGAAGGAACUAAGAGCGUUCCAAGAACAAAGGAAAAGGAGCAACGAAGCACAACAGAAGCCAAACCAGGGGCUGCAGAACUCAAGCCGCACAAGACUCUCUGAAUACAGGGGCUCUCCACAGAAGCCUCAGGCUUCUUGAUUCCCCCACCCGUUUGUCAGGCAGCAGCAUCUCUAAGAUUCUGGCUGACCUGAAUGCAACACGCUUCAUGCGUGUCUGAAGCUUCAGGCUUCUUGAUUCUCCCACCAGCCCGGUCAGGUAGCAUCAUCUCUAAGAUUCUGGCUGUCUUGAAUGCAACACGCUUCAUGCGUGUUUGAAGCUUCACGCUUCUUGAUUCAUUCCACGGAGGGGAUGGCCAGCAGUUUCUGUAGGUUUCUAGCAAUCUUGAAUGGAACAGGCUUCAUGCAUGCUCCAUUCUGACCCCUGAAGACUGCUUUGGCAAGAAGAAACAGAAUUGGCGCGCCUCUCUCCAGGACCUCCAGGACCCAAACUUGACAGCGGGACGC
Molecule: long non-coding RNA, 6730 nt
Organism: Hemicordylus capensis (graceful crag lizard)
Lineage: Eukaryota; Metazoa; Chordata; Lepidosauria; Squamata; Cordylidae
Exons: 3
Source: RefSeq, a predicted model, not a curated record